GUCCCUGUAGAGCAAUGAAGAGCGCGUUGGACUUCUCAUCCAAAGGUGAUGAGUUCGAACCCCAUCAGGGAUG
Molecule: non-coding RNA, 73 nt
Organism: Trichonephila inaurata madagascariensis
Lineage: Eukaryota; Metazoa; Arthropoda; Arachnida; Araneae; Nephilidae
Source: the annotation of a GenBank genome assembly